GGUUUAAUUCGAAGCAACGCGAAGAACCUUACCAAGUCUUGACAUCCUCUGACAACCCUAGAGAUAGGGCUUUCCCCUUCGGGGAACAGAGUGACAGGUGGUGCAUGGUUGUCGUCAGCUCGUGUCGUGAGAUGUUGGGUUAAGUCCCGCAACCGAGCGCAACCCUUGUCCUUAGUUGCCAGCAUUCAGUUGGGCACUUUAAUCUGACUGCCGCAGACAAUGCGGAGGAAGGGUGGGGAUGACGUCAAAUCAUCAUGCCCCUUAUGACCUGGGCUACACACGUGCUACAAUGGAUGGUACAAAGGGUUGCUAAGCCGUGAGGUGGAGCUAAUCCCAUAAAGCCAUUCUCAGUUCGGAUUGUAGGCUGCAACUCGCCUACAUGAAGCCGGAAUCGCUAGUAAUCGCAGAUCAGCAUGCUGCGGUGAAUACGUUCCCGGGCCUUGUACACACCGCCCGUCACACCACGAGAGCUUGCAACACCCGAAGUCGGUGAGGCAACCCUUCCGGGAGCCAGCCGCCGAAGGUGGGGCAAGUGAUUGGGGUGAAGUCGUAACAAGGUAGCCGUAUGGGAAGGUGCGGCUGGAUCACCUCCU
Molecule: ribosomal RNA, 593 nt
Filed under: uncultured Bacillaceae bacterium
Lineage: Bacteria; Bacillati; Bacillota; Bacilli; Caryophanales; Bacillaceae
Description: bacterial SSU rRNA
Rfam family: Bacterial small subunit ribosomal RNA
Source: RNAcentral